AGGUUAAGCUAGUAAGAGCACACGGAGGAUGCCUAGGCGCCAGGAGCCGACGAAGGACGUGGCGAACGACGAAAUUGCCUCGGGGAGCUGUAAGCAAGCAUCGAUCCGGGGAUGUCCGAAUGGGGAAACCCGGCUGCUGUAAUAGGCAGUCACUCACACCUGAAUACAUAGGGUGUGAAGAGGCAUACGAGGGGAACUGAAACAUCUAAGUACCCUCAGGAAGAGAAAACAAUAGUGAUUCCGUCAGUAGCGGCGAGCGAACGCGGAAAAGCCUAAACCGGAGAGCUUGCUCUCCGGGGUUGUGGGACGUCUCACAUGGAGUCAGAAAGGUGUUUAUUAGACGAAGAGGUCUGGAAAGGCCCGCCAAAGAAGGUAAUAGCCCUGUACUCGAAAGUAAAUGCCCUCCGAGACGGAUCCCGAGUACCGCGGGACACGUGAAACCCCGUGGGAAUCCGGCAGGACCAUCUGCUAAGGCUAAAUACUCCCUGGCGACCGAUAGUGAAGCAGUACCGUGAGGGAAAGGUGAAAAGCACCCCGGAAGGGAGUGAAAUAGAACCUGAAACCGUGUGCUUACAAGAAGUCAGAGCCCUUUAUGGGUGAUGGCGUGCCUUUGUAGAAUGAACCGGCGAGUUACGUUUACGUGCAAGGUUAAGGUGAAAAGCCGUAGCCGCAGCGAAAGCGAGUCUGAAUAGGGCGAAUGAGUACGUAGGCGUAGACCCGAAACCGUGUGAUCUACCCCUGUCCAGGGUGAAGGUGCGGUAACACGCACUGGAGGCCCGAACCCACGAAUGUUGAAAAUUCGGGGAUGAGGUGGGGUAGCGGAGAAAUUCAAUCGAACUCGGAGAUAGCUGGUUCUCCCGAAAUAGCUUUAGGGCUAGCCUCGGAGGAAGAGUCGUGGAGGUAGAGCACUGAUUGGGUGCGGGGCCCGCCAAGGGUUACCAAGCUCAGUCAAACUCCGAAUGCCAUGGACUUAUUAUCCGGGAGUCAGACAAUGGGUGCUAAGGUCCGUUGUCAAGAGGAAACAGCCCAGACCAUCAGCUAAGGCCCACAAAAUGUGGCUGAUGGUGGUGCAAAUGCCGCCGAAGCUAUGGAUUGAUGCUUUUAUGCUGCAUCAGUGGUAGAGGCGUUGUGUACCGGGUUGAAGGCAGACCGGAAGGACUGCUGGACUGUACACAAGUGAGAAUGCCGGUAUGAGUAACGAAAAGACAUGUGAGAAUCAUGUCCGCCGAAAGCCUAAGGGUUCCUGGGGAAGGCUCGUCCGCCCAGGGUAAGUCGGGACCUAAGGCGAGGCCGAAAGGCGUAGUCGAAGGACAACAGGUUGAAAUUCCUGUACCACCGUAGCCGUUAUGAGCAAUGGGGGGGGACGCAGAAGGAUAGGGACGCGAGCUGAUGGAUGCUCGUCCAAGCAGUGAGGCUGGUCAGUAGGCAAAUCCGCUGACCGUAAGGCUGGGCUGUGACGGGGAGGGAAAAUUACAGUACCGAAGGUCUUGAUUUCAUGCUGCCAAGAAAAGCCUCUAGCCAGGUAAAGGUGCCCGUACCGCAAACCGACACAGGUAGGCGAGAAGAGAAUUCUAAGGCGCGCGGAAGAACUCUCGUUAAGGAACUCGGCAAAAUGACCCCGUAACUUUGGGAGAAGGGGUGCCCCGGUAGGGUGAAUAGCCCGAGGGGGCCGCAGUGAAUAGGCCCGAGCGACUGUUUAGCAAAAACACAGGUCUGUGCGAAGCCGUAAGGCGAAGUAUACGGGCUGACGCCUGCCCGGUGCUGGAAGGUUAAGGGGAGAGUGGUUAGCCGCAAGGCGAAGCUAUGAACCGAAGCCCCAGUAAACGGCGGCCGUAACUAUAACGGUCCUAAGGUAGCGAAAUUCCUUGUCAGGUAAAUUCUGACCCGCACGAAUGGCGUAACGACUUGGGCGCUGUCUCAACGAGAGAUCCGGUGAAAUUUUAAUACCUGUGAAGAUGCAGGUUACCCGCGACAAGACGGAAAGACCCCAUGGAGCUUUACUGCAGCUUGAUAUUGGACUUUGGUACGGUCUGUACAGGAUAGGUGGGAGCCUGAGAAGCCGGAGCGCCAGCUUCGGUGGAGGCGCCGUUGGGAUACCACCCUGAUCGUAUCGGAGUUCUAACCUGGGACCGUGGAACCGGUUCGGGGACAGUGUCAGGCGGGCAGUUUGACUGGGGCGGUCGCCUCCUAAAGAGUAACGGAGGCGCCCCAAGGUUCCCUCAGAAUGGUUGGAAAUCAUUCGAAGAGUGCAAAGGCAGAAGGGAGCUUGACUGCGAGACCUACAAGUCGAGCAGGGACGAAAGUCGGGCUUAGUGAUCCGGUGGUACCGCAUGGAAGGGCCAUCGCUCAACGGAUAAAAGCUACCCUGGGGAUAACAGGCUUAUCUCCCCCAAGAGUCCACAUCGACGGGGAGGUUUGGCACCUCGAUGUCGGCUCAUCGCAUCCUGGGGCUGAAGUAGGUCCCAAGGGUUGGGCUGUUCGCCCAUUAAAGCGGUACGCGAGCUGGGUUCAGAACGUCGUGAGACAGUUCGGUCCCUAUCUGUCGCGGGCGUAGGAAAUUUGAGAGGAGCUGUCCUUAGUACGAGAGGACCGGGAUGGACGUACCGCUGGUGUACCAGUUGUCUCGCCAGAGGCAUAGCUGGGUAGCCAAGUACGGAAGGGAUAAGCGCUGAAAGCAUCUAAGCGUGAAGCCCCCCUCAAGAUGAGAUUUCCCACAUUGGUAAGACCCCUUGAAGACGACGAGGUAGAUAGGUUGGAGGUGGAAGUGCAGCAAUGCAUGGAGCUGACCAAUACUAAUCGGUCGAGGGCUUAUCCUAA
Molecule: ribosomal RNA, 2817 nt
Filed under: Paenibacillus thiaminolyticus
Lineage: Bacteria; Bacillati; Bacillota; Bacilli; Caryophanales; Paenibacillaceae
Description: 23S ribosomal RNA
Rfam family: Bacterial large subunit ribosomal RNA
Source: RNAcentral